CAGCGCCGCGGUAAUACGUAGGUCCCGAGCGUUGUCCGGAUUUAUUGGACGUAAAGCGAGCGCAGGCGGUUAGAUAAGUCUGAAGUUAAAGGCUGUGGCUUAACCAUAGUACGCUUUGGAAACUGUUUAACUUGAGUGCAAGAGGGGAGAGUGGAAUUCCAUGUGUAGCGGUGAAAUGCGUAGAUAUAUGGAGGAACACCGGAGGCGAAAGCGGCUCUCUGGCUUGUAACUGACGCUGAGGCUCGAAAGCGUGGGGAGCAAACAGGAUUAGAUACCCGCGUAGUCCCUGUCUCUUAUACAC
Molecule: ribosomal RNA, 301 nt
Filed under: uncultured bacterium
Lineage: Bacteria
Description: partial 16S ribosomal RNA
Rfam family: Bacterial small subunit ribosomal RNA
Source: RNAcentral